This 200-nucleotide ribosomal RNA is filed under the name Klebsiella pneumoniae. RNAcentral describes it as "partial 16S ribosomal RNA". It matches the Rfam family "Bacterial small subunit ribosomal RNA", at positions 1 to 210 of the family's 1533-position model. RNAcentral also lists the same sequence under 1 other name. Lineage: Bacteria; Pseudomonadati; Pseudomonadota; Gammaproteobacteria; Enterobacterales; Enterobacteriaceae. The record is from RNAcentral.
AAAUUGAAGAGUUUGAUCAUGGCUCAGAUUGAACGCUGGCGGCAGGCCUAACACAUGCAAGUCGAGCGGUAGCACAGAGAGCUUGCUCUCGGGUGACGAGCGGCGGACGGGUGAGUAAUGUCUGGGAAACUGCCUGAUGGAGGGGGAUAACUACUGGAAACGGUAGCUAAUACCGCAUAACGUCGCAAGACCAAAGUGGG